GUCUUUUAUGAUUGCACAAAGCUACAUGUCGCUAGCUACGGAAACGUUCUGAGUGGGCCGACACCUGACAAAAUUAUGAUUAUGAUAUUUGUAUUUUUAUUUCAGUUGGUGUUUGAGUUGUGUUUAAAUGGCUCACUGAUACUUGUAGCCCCAGUUGUCUUCUUUAAUUUGAUGUACAACAUCAAUAUAUUUGCUCAUGUUUAUUAUAAUAUUAUAGACAGUUUAGAACAAAACAUCAAAUCUGCCCCACAGGUGGGGCAAUGGGGCUUAAGUGUAACACCAGCGUAACAGACAGUGACGCAGCUGUUGAUGCGAGUCUCUUGGUGUUUACAGCAUAGAAAUGUGUGUGUGUGAGUGCAGGAGGACCUGUGGCAUGCCAAAGUGAGUGAUGUGCGAUCCCAGCUUCGCUUCCUGGAGGAAGUGGAGAGUUUGAAGAAGAAGAGGAGAGAGAGAGACUGCUGCGUUUGGCCAGAAGUCGCUCACACACUGAGGAUCCACAGCAUCAGCAGCUCAAGCAAAGAGCCAAAGAGCUCCAACAGAUGGAAGACGCUCAGCUGCAGCAACGAGAGGCCAACCUCACGGCCCUGGCCGCCAUCGGGCCUCGCAAGAAGAGACCAAUGGAGCAGACGGGAAGCCAGCGCAGCCGGCUGCCUGUUUGCUCUUUCCUCAACAGCCACAGGGCUUCACCUCCGCUGGCACAGCCCACACGCAUGACGGCUACCUAGAGGAGUGAUUGUGUUUGGAGUGAACGCUGUUCCUGCACAUACUCAGACAGGAAGUAUUUGUUGAGGCAUCGUCCUUGAAACGAGGAUUGUUUGUCUCCAUAUUAAUUCAAGGACUUGGUUGACUUUGAUUUGUAGCGUGAAAGCACGAGGGCUGUGCCGAGGUUUCAGUGAAUGUCUAAAGAAAAACAAAAGAGAUGUGUCGCUCACUCUCUCUCUCACUCUCUCAGGUGACCCUGCUGCCCAGACCGAGCAUUCAGAGGGUGACCCGCGUCAUGCUGAGGGAUCUGCUGCUGUGUAUGGAGCAGGACCGCUUCCUGUGCCACUCCCUCCCUCUGUACAGAGCCAUGCUCUGACCACCUCGCUGGGAAUGACCACACCACUACACCGCUCUCAUAUUAAUCUUAAUUAAACAAGCUUUGUUUGUUGUUUUUGUACUUUUGUUUCAGUUCUAUCAACAAUUCAUCUGUUUAUUAUCUACUAUUUAUUUUUUUGUAGGUGGAUCAAUGAUGGUGAUCAGCUCCUAGUUUUGAUUAAAAAUAUGACAGAAGAUGAAACACUGUUUACUGAAAAGAUUAGUUGAGUUCUAAGUUUAAUGUUGAGUGUUUCAUUAUUCUGCUUGUUUGUUUGACCAUUAAAAGAAGUGGACUGGGUCACAUCCUGA
Pseudoliparis swirei is the source of this 1386-nucleotide RNA transcript. It is a transcript of the gene named transcription initiation factor TFIID subunit 4B-like, with no coding region annotated. The transcript is spliced from 5 exons. Lineage: Eukaryota; Metazoa; Chordata; Actinopteri; Perciformes; Liparidae. The record is from RefSeq and is a predicted model, not a curated record.